This 505-nucleotide ribosomal RNA is filed under the name uncultured bacterium. Its description in RNAcentral is "partial 16S ribosomal RNA". It matches the Rfam family "Bacterial small subunit ribosomal RNA", at positions 28 to 507 of the family's 1533-position model. The record is from RNAcentral.
GACGAACGCUGGCGGCGUGCCUAAUACAUGCAAGUAGAACGCACAGUUUAUACCGUAGCUUGCUACACCAUAGACUGUGAGUUGCGAACGGGUGAGUAACGCGUAGGUAACCUGCCUGGUAGCGGGGGAUAACUAUUGGAAACGAUAGCUAAUACCGCAUAAUAUUAAUUAUUGCAUGAUAAUUAAUUGAACGGUGCAAUUGCACCACUACCAGAUGGACCUGCGUUGUAUUAGCUAGUAGGUGAGGUAACGGCUCACCUAGGCGACGAUACAUAGCCGACCUGAGAGGGUGAUCGGCCACACUGGGACUGAGACACGGCCCAGACUCCUACGGGAGGCAGCAGUAGGGAAUCUUCGGCAAUGGACGAAAGUCUGACCGAGCAACGCCGCGUGAGGGAAGAAGGUUUUCGGAUCGUAAAGCUCUGUUGUAAGAGAAGAACGGGUGUGAGAGUGGAAAGUUCACACUGUGACGGUAUCUUACCAGAAAGGGACGGCUAACUACGUG